RNAcentral lists this ribosomal RNA (404 nucleotides) under Brucella melitensis. Its description in RNAcentral is "partial 16S ribosomal RNA". It matches the Rfam family "Bacterial small subunit ribosomal RNA", at positions 355 to 776 of the family's 1533-position model. Lineage: Bacteria; Pseudomonadati; Pseudomonadota; Alphaproteobacteria; Hyphomicrobiales; Brucellaceae. RNAcentral also lists the same sequence under 2 other names. The record is from RNAcentral.
UGGGGAAUAUUGGACAAUGGGCGCAAGCCUGAUCCAGCCAUGCCGCGUGAGUGAUGAAGGCCCUAGGGUUGUAAAGCUCUUUCACCGGUGAAGAUAAUGACGGUAACCGGAGAAGAAGCCCCGGCUAACUUCGUGCCAGCAGCCGCGGUAAUACGAAGGGGGCUAGCGUUGUUCGGAUUUACUGGGCGUAAAGCGCACGUAGGCGGACUUUUAAGUCAGGGGUGAAAUCCCGGGGCUCAACCCCGGAACUGCCUUCGAUACUGGAAGUCUUGAGUAUGGUAGAGGUGAGUGGAAUUCCGAGUGUAGAGGUGAAAUUCGUAGAUAUUCGGAGGAACACCAGUGGCGAAGGCGGCUCACUGGACCAUUACUGACGCUGAGGUGCGAAAGCGUGGGGAGCAAACAGG